RNAcentral lists this ribosomal RNA (497 nucleotides) under uncultured bacterium. RNAcentral's name for it is "partial 16S ribosomal RNA". It matches the Rfam family "Bacterial small subunit ribosomal RNA", at positions 28 to 507 of the family's 1533-position model. The record is from RNAcentral.
GAUGAACGCUGGCGGCGUGCCUAAUACAUGCAAGUCGAGCGAACAGACGAGGAGCUUGCUCCUCUGACGUUAGCGGCGGACGGGUGAGUAACACGUGGAUAACCUACCUAUAAGACUGGGAUAACUUCGGGAAACCGGAGCUAAUACCGGAUAAUAUAUUGAACCGCAUGGUUCAAUAGUGAAAGACGGUUUUGCUGUCACUUAUAGAUGGAUCCGCGCCGCAUUAGCUAGUUGGUAAGGUAACGGCUUACCAAGGCAACGAUGCGUAGCCGACCUGAGAGGGUGAUCGCCCACACUGGAACUGAGACACGGUCCAGACUCCUACGGGAGGCAGCAGUAGGGAAUCUUCCGCAAUGGGGGAAAGCCUGACGGAGCAACGCCGCGUGAGUGAUGAAGGUCUUCGGAUCGUAAAACUCUGUUAUUAGGGAAGAACAAAUGUGUAAGUAACUAUGCACGUCUUGACGGUACCUAAUCAGAAAGCCACGGCUAACUACGUG